GACGAACGCUGGCGGCGUGCUUAACACAUGCAAGUCGAACGGAGUGCUCAUGACAGAGGUUUCGGCCAAUAGAUUGAGUUACUUAGUGGCGGACUGGUGAGUAACGCGUGAGUAACCUGCCUUCAAGAGGGGGGAUAACAUUCUGAAAAGAAUGCUAAUACCGCAUGACAUAUGAUUGUCGCAUGGCAGACAUAUCAAAGAUUUAUCGCUUGAAGAUGGACUCGCGUCCGAUUAGUUAGUUGGUGAGGUAACGGCCCACCAAGUCGACGAUCAGUAGCCGGACUGAGAGGUUGACCGGCCACAUUGGGACUGAGAUACGGCCCAGACUCCUACGGGAGACAGCAGUGGGGAAUAUUGGGCAAUGGGGGAAACCCUGACCCAGCAACGCCGCGUGAAGGAAGAAGGCUUUCGGGUUGUAAACUUCUUUUACCAGGGACGAAGGACGUGACGGUACCUGGAGAAAAAGCCACGGCUAACUACGUG
This 483-nucleotide ribosomal RNA is filed under the name uncultured bacterium. Its description in RNAcentral is "bacterial SSU rRNA". It matches the Rfam family "Bacterial small subunit ribosomal RNA", at positions 28 to 507 of the family's 1533-position model. The record is from RNAcentral.